UGUGCUCUACCGAUCUGUCUAAUGUGGGUCCACAGGGCUGCCUUACUUCUGGAGCCUUUAGAGGAGAAUGCAUUUCCUUGCCUUUUGGAGUGACUAGAGGCCACACAUACUCUUUGGCUCAUGGUCCAUUUCUCCAUCUUUAAAGCCAAUAACAUGGUAUCUUUUCUCCUCUGUGACCUGUUUCCAUCCUCACAUUUCUCUCUGAUUUUGACCUUCCAGUGUCCUUCUUAUAAGGAUCCUUGUGAUUACAUUGUCCCACCUGGAUAAUCCAGAAUAAUCUACCAAUCUCAACAUCUUUAUAUUUAUCACAUCUGCAAAGACCCCUUUGCCAUGUAAGGUGGCAUGUUUAUAGAUUCCAGGGAUUAGGUUGUGAAUAUGUUGGGGAGCGGGGCACUAUUUAGCUCACCACAGAGCAUUUUGAAUAAACCUGCCAUGUACAUUCAUCUACAUGUCUUUUGGUAAAAAUAUUCUGCAUUUCUCUUGGGUAUAUACUGAAGAAUGGAAUUGCUGAGUUAUAGAGUAUAAACAUGUUUAGCUUUAGAUUCUGCAAAAAUGGUUUUUCAAAGUGGUGCUAAGUUACCUUCCUCCCCAGCAGCACAUGAGAGAUCCAGUUGACCCACAACCUCUCUAACACUUAGUGUUGAUAUUUAACCAUUGUAAGAUACAGAGGUAUCUCAUUGUAAUUUUAAUUUGCACGUCAUUGAUGACCGCUGAGGUUGAACAGUUUCUCAUAUAUUUAUUGGUCAUUUAGAUAUCCUCUCUUGUGAAGCUUUUUUUUAGUCUUUUGCCCAUUUUUCUAUUUGGUUGUCUUUUUCUUAUCGAUUUGUAGGAGUUCUGUAUAUAUUUUGGAUCCAAGCUCUUUGUCAUGUAUAUGUGCAGUAAAUAACUUUUCCCCCUCUGUGGUUUGUCUUUUUAAUCUUUUAAUGGUAUCUUUAAUGCAUAGAAAUUACUGAUUUUAAGGUAGUACAAUGUCUACAAGAAAUCUCAAGAAAAAAAAUUAAAUAUUUUGAACUGAAUGAAAAUAAAAAUACAACAUAACUAAAUUUAUGGAGUGAACCUAACGCAGGGCUUCAAGGAAAUUUUAUAGUACUAACUUUUGGCAUUGUUGAUUUUAUUGAUUAUAAGUUUGUUUUCUAUCUUACUAAUUUUUGUUUUUUUAAUUUCCUUCUUUUUACUGUUAGAUUUGAUUUUCUGUUUCCUAAAUUCUUUAGAUUUUUAAAUUGUUGCUUUUUCAGCUUUUAAAAUUUUUCUAAUAUAUGCAUAUUAAAGGUAUAAAUGGCCUC
Molecule: non-coding RNA, 1283 nt
Organism: Vicugna pacos (alpaca)
Lineage: Eukaryota; Metazoa; Chordata; Mammalia; Artiodactyla; Camelidae
Source: RefSeq, a predicted model, not a curated record